GCAUGGUCGAGCUGGCAAACGCCUGCUAAACCCACGAGAAGCCAGUUUCCACGGAAAUUCGGUCUUUCGUCUGGCAACUAUAAUCGGUGACGUCACUGGUCACGGGACCUAAUGUUCAGUCGGUUCAGUCUCUUUUUUCGCUUCGUUGUAGCCGGUUGUCCCGACAUGGCACUGCAGUCCCCGCCCGAUGUUCAGGACGUUCGCGGCUUUACUGGCUGUCCAGGUUGUCCAGCAGUCUUAGAACUCACAGGACAAAAAUUCUACAGUUACCCCAAAGUUCACCAUACCAGGUCACCAAUCUAUGGACAGGGUGAGCAACAACCGUAGCCUAGCACUCGCUUCUCCCGGUGCUAACAACAGGAAGCUGGAGGAAGCGCAGAAUAACAUCAACGCCCUUAGCCAAGUCUCUGGAGGCACGUUGCACCGCAGCUCGGCCAGCAGCAACAUCAGCGUCAUCAACAGCCCUGAACAGCAGCAACCGCCCUCGCAGCACCACUCCAACAAGCUCCAGCGGACCCCAAGCCACCUGAAGAGCGGCCAAGCGGCCCAGAACGGACCCCAUCACCGAACUUGGGCUUAAAGCCGGAGGCCGGGACACUACUCGGAUUCGUCAAGCGUCUACAGUGCGUUUGCGGACCACAUCUAUGAGUCCAUCGACGGUGAUGCCUCCUCGGUCGAUCGCCUGUCCGACGUCCCGCCACCGCCUGCGCCUCCCCAAUCCGAGGCGUUCUACGGAGACCUGUCCGACAUGAGCCAGCACUCCUCAUCCAGCUACGGCUACGACCAGCGGCCCUUGCUCGUCACGCCAUUGUCGGGCAAGUAUCAGGCCACACCCCUGGCAAACGUCAUGCACGGCUUUGCAAGGGCACUACGCCACGUCUUCGCCAGAGAUGCCGCGCUAUGUAUACGGAGCAGCAGAGGCACUAUGGCUCAGGCCGACGCAAGCACGACAUCGUUGGCUUCAAUGGGCCUCCUUACUCACCCUAAGAUGCUGUAAGAGGCCGCCCUGACGCAGAGGCUAGAAGACGCCCCGACAAACUUCUCCUCGGACUCGGGCAUGGUCGCCGACAGCGAGGAUUACUGGGGCACCUCACCGACGCUGCCGGACUUGUUGCACGGCCCCGUGGAGAGCAACCCUGUGGUGAUGGCUGUGUUGGACGGUGAAAAAGUGGUGAGCAGGAUUCGUUCGGAUGCCAUGAUGACGACACCAUCGAAUCCGAGAUUGCAAUAGCAGCGAUACAACCUCAGCACGUACUGCUAACCGGAGUCAUGUGUGUGAUUCGCACGUGCAUGUGCUUGUGGGAAGUGCGCGUGUUCUUUUCUUCUUUUUUUCCCCGCUUAGAAAUUCUCAUCGCAUAGGACUUUUAAGAAGCAUUCGUGUACUUAACUGAAAUGGACUGGCACUUGCGAGGGACGGACUGUGUGUGUUCCCCAGUCCGUCUACCCGUCCACGAGAGAACUUUCUUUUCAUGUCUCGGAGGAAAGCAGGUAUAGAAGAGAGGGCGGUUCUUUGAAUCCUAAGCAUCUAGUCGUCGAACACAAGAGUAGAGGGGGAUGUGCUAGUCGCUGGCGAGAGCAGAAUUGGUACAGCCAUUCUUGCUUACCGCCCGUGAUCGGAGGAAGAGCACGGACGUCUCUCGACUGCUUAAUUUAAGAAAACAAAAUGACGAGAGACUGAGCGGUGCUUUUUGCUAAGAAGCCAGGUCUAAUCGACGGCUUUGUACAUUUUUUUAUUAUUGCUGUAAGUACAAUGUAAAUCUAGACAUUCGCACCUGUAUUUAAAUGUCCUUGUUUCAUGUUGUCUUUUUUUUUCCUCUUGGAGAAUGUUGCAAGUGAACCCAGGAGAAGAGCAGGCUGGUUGUUUUUGUCAGUGUCUUGCAAAUAAGGCAUCUGAGAGCUAUUUUCGCAGUUUCGUAAGUCACCCGCUGCUAUAAGCAAAGCAUUACCAAAUCACCGACAGUGCUGUACAUAGUAUAACGGAACAAACACUGGUUGCACAAACUCUAUUUUCCUUGCUGCCACUUCGGUCCUUGCGCACGCCAAGCUUGUGAUCCGUGACCAGUCCAAUUUUACUCUAGCCUAUUUUAAACAAGAUCUGCUUCAAAAAUCAAAAAUGCAAACAGAGAGAAAGAAAAGGAAGACUCAAGCUUGGCAUAGGUAGCAUUCGUGUAAUUUUUUUCUUAUAAUCAUAGUGUGAUGUCACCUUUCAUGUCUUGAAUAGCACUCCCGUUGAUACAUUCCUAUAACCAUAUCAAAUUUGAAGCACACUAGCAAUUUGCAGCAGCCUAUGCCUUAGAAUAUCAAUUAAUGUCUCUAUUUCCUGUGUGAGGCUGCAGAGAUGUUUCAGCUAUUCUGUGAUCCCAAUGAUUGCCUAAGUUAUCCGAGAAAGGACAAUGUGUGUAUCUGUGUUAAGGAGAGGUUCUGGGCAAUUCAAGACGGCCGGAAGCUGUUAUUAAUUUAAGACGUUCGAAGUUCUUGCCUAUAACGUCUCUGGUGUCAUGGCUCGAACAAAUAGUGGUCAUUUACCGGCAGCAUGGAAGGCUGGGUGAAGUUGAAAGGUCUGCGGCCUUCUAGCACUUGUUGUACAGAAGUGUGCCAAAUAAAAAAGAAAUGUUUGAAAUCUUGCAAA
Molecule: long non-coding RNA, 2629 nt
Organism: Dermacentor silvarum
Lineage: Eukaryota; Metazoa; Arthropoda; Arachnida; Ixodida; Ixodidae
Exons: 3
Source: RefSeq, a predicted model, not a curated record